UCCGCCCCUGGAUAGGAGGUUUGAUCGAAAGUAAAAGAGAACUCUUGAAAAGAGGCUUGCUAACAUCUUUCCAAUUGCUUCCAAUUUUCACUUUCUUCAAGUGCAUGCUCCAAAGCUCCCAAAUAAGAAGCAAUGUAAAUGUUAAUUAACAAUAUAUAUCAACAUAAAUAAAUCUUGCAUAAUCAGUCAAUAGUUGUUCCUAUC
Molecule: long non-coding RNA, 204 nt
Filed under: Solanum tuberosum (potato)
Lineage: Eukaryota; Viridiplantae; Streptophyta; Magnoliopsida; Solanales; Solanaceae
Description: long non-coding RNA (STUB_LNC009338)
Source: RNAcentral